AGUAAGAUAGCUGGGUCAAAGGUGGUUCCAUUCUAAGUUUUUAAAGGAAUCUCCAUACUAUUUUCCAGAUUGAUUGAAUCAGUUUGCAGUCCCACCAGCAAU
Molecule: microRNA precursor, 102 nt
Filed under: Marmota monax (woodchuck)
Lineage: Eukaryota; Metazoa; Chordata; Mammalia; Rodentia; Sciuridae
Source: RNAcentral